This is a long non-coding RNA of Zingiber officinale, 827 nucleotides long. RefSeq lists it as uncharacterized. The record is from RefSeq and is a predicted model, not a curated record. The transcript is spliced from 3 exons. Lineage: Eukaryota; Viridiplantae; Streptophyta; Magnoliopsida; Zingiberales; Zingiberaceae.
CUCUUCUUCUUAUUUCCCCGAGCCCGAUUCUUCUCCCCGCCGAACCCGAUUUCCCCUUCCUCUCUCUCGCGAUCUGGAUUUGUCGCCGGACACCGAGCAUCUACGCCAACAGCCCGAUCUUCCUUCUCCUCCAGCGUGCCUCGGCCGAGUCUGCCUCCUCCCUCCCAUUCUCGAAGAGUGGAGUCGUUCUCCUCUCUCACGAUUGUAUCCACCAUCGGCCGUCGAAUCCGAGCGGAGCAACAAAGAGUUCGUCAAGGAGGUUCAUCACUUAUUUCUCUCCACCAGAUCUCAAUUCUUUGUCUUCGUCGGCAUGGAUCUGUGGCCGAUCCUCCUCUCGAUUUCCUCUGCUCGAUGCCCUAGCAUUGUUACCGAUUCCCUCUGUUUUGGAUCGGCAUCGAUGUGGUUGGAGAGGAAGCUAUGAAUCUAGAUUUGUGCUUCGGCGAGAAUUGGACUACGGGUGGCUAGCUGUAGCUACCAAAUUCUUCUUUCCGACUAUCUUUCUACCGCUAGGGGUGGUGAGGGACUCUCCUCCUGCUUCGACAUGAAGCUCUCAGCUAGAAUUUUCCCAAGCAGUCUUGUAUCUACCAAACAGUAUGGCUUUGGCUAGAAAUCAGAGAUCUAUUCAGGGGUAGCUUGUAGAUGGUUGGUGUGUCGCUUGGAGUAUCUUGUCUGUCGGGUCCUACGUCACAUUCGAAGACGACUUCAAGUUUUCGUUUAUGUUUUACUUGUAUUUGGUAUUUGGUGUAUUUAGUGUUGUGAUUUUAUUUAUGUUGUUGUAGUUGUUGUAUAAAGCCUAGCCGACUAGUAGUAUUUUUAUUUGUUUCGUA